AUUGAACGCUGGCGGCAUGCCUUACACAUGCAAGUCGAACGGCAGCACGGGUGCUUGCACCUGGUGGCGAGUGGCGAACGGGUGAGUAAUACAUCGGCACAUGUCCUGUAGUGGGGGAUAGCCCGGCGAAAGCCGGAUUAAUACCGCAUACGAUCUACGGAUGAAAGCGGGGGACCUUCGGGCCUCGCGCUAUAGGGUUGGCCGAUGGCUGAUUAGCUAGUUGGUGGGGUAAAGGCCUACCAAGGCGACGAUCAGUAGCUGGUCUGAGAGGACGACCAGCCACACUGGGACUGAGACACGGCCCAGACUCCUACGGGAGGCAGCAGUGGGGAAUUUUGGACAAUGGGCGAAAGCCUGAUCCAGCAAUGCCGCGUGUGUGAAGAAGGCCUUCGGGUUGUAAAGCACUUUUGUCCGGAAAGAAAUCCUUGGCCCUAAUACGGUCGGGGGAUGACGGUACCGGAAGAAUAAGCACCGGCUAACUACGU
This 485-nucleotide ribosomal RNA is filed under the name uncultured bacterium. RNAcentral's name for it is "partial 16S ribosomal RNA". It matches the Rfam family "Bacterial small subunit ribosomal RNA", at positions 30 to 506 of the family's 1533-position model. The record is from RNAcentral.